This 253-nucleotide ribosomal RNA is filed under the name uncultured bacterium. RNAcentral describes it as "partial 16S ribosomal RNA". It matches the Rfam family "Bacterial small subunit ribosomal RNA", at positions 524 to 776 of the family's 1533-position model. The record is from RNAcentral.
UACGGAGGGUGCGAGCGUUGUCCGGAAUCACUGGGCGUAAAGGGCGCGUAGGCGGCCUGAUAAGUAGGGGGUGAAAUCCUGCGGCUUAACCGCAGGGCUGCCUUCUAAACUGUCAGGCUAGAGCACAGUAGAGGCAGGUGGAAUUCCCGGUGUAGCGGUGGAAUGCGUAGAGAUCGGGAAGAACAUCAGUGGCGAAGGCGGCGACCUGGGUAGAUACUGACGCUGAGGCGCGAAAGCGUGGGGAGCAAACAGG